Molecule: long non-coding RNA, 2161 nt
Organism: Papaver somniferum (opium poppy)
Lineage: Eukaryota; Viridiplantae; Streptophyta; Magnoliopsida; Ranunculales; Papaveraceae
Exons: 6
Source: RefSeq, a predicted model, not a curated record
UCUUUCUCUCUUCUUCUCAGUUCUUAGUGCUCCUCUUUCUCCCUAACCCUAACUCAAAUCAGAUUAUUCAAUCUCUUGCUCAUCAUAAUCAGCCACACCUUAUCAUGAUUCACUAGCAGUUCUUAUGGGGGGGAAGAAAAGCUAUUAGCAAACUCAAAUAAUAAGAAGUGGGUUUUGUUUUCCUUGUUAGCUAGUGGUGCAAAGAACUACCAGAUUUGAUAAAUGAGAAGUUGAAGAGAGGACAGUCUUGAAGCUUCUGUUGGGCAUGUAUGUAAAGAGUGAUUUCUGAAGUUUGAAGCCUAACUUGUUCAGAUCCGAAGAGAUUUGAAGAGUCUCUAACAAACCUCCAAUUUCUUACUCUUUUUAUUAUUUUUUCCCUUAUUUUUUCAUCAAAAUCUGAAGUACUGGGUAUAGGGAUUUGAGGUGAUAUGAUUUAUUAGAUUAGCCUUUUAGUUCGUUCAAAUAACUACGAUUGAAAUCCAUUCAGGGUUCUUGUAAUGAUGGUGUGGUAGUGGUGAUGAACUAAGAAUAAUUUGUUUCAAAUGAAAGAUUUGUGGAAGUUACUUCAAUUUUGGUUUUCUUUUGUUUUAUCUUUAUGGGUUUUAGUUUUCAAUUGAAAAUUUGGUUUUUCUGUUGAUUGUAGGAAGGUUAUUGGUCUAAUUUUCUGCAGUCUGGACUCGUUCGUUAAUGCAAUUGAGGUGUGGAAACAAGAGACUAUCUUGAGCAAAAGACCAGCAGAAUUGCACUUUGAGUGUUAGAGAAAAAUCCUGAAAGAACAGGAAAAGGGAUAACAUCAAAUCUAUAUGGUAAUUUAGUGGCAAAUACAACUGCAGUUGUUGCUGGAGGCACUGGUGUCAUUGCCAGGAGGUAGGGCACGCAAAAUCUCUUCCCUUCUGAAGUUGAUUGCUUGCCCUGAUUGGGAGAUGGGGCACGCAAAAUCUAAGGAGGAAAUCAACACUUACUGUUUCUCUUGUGGCUGCUGCUGGUAUCAUUAAGACAUCUAAAAAAAUUUUGGGUUGUGAAGUAGAUGGUCCAAAUGGAUCAGUUAACUAUACUUGGCAAAAAAGCACUGCAGUUAUAAAGAAAUAAUAAUCAAAAGCAUUGCGAGAUAACUGUGACGAAUUGUCCGUCUGCAGACUUGGUUGAGGCGUUUAUCAAGAUAAUAGAGGAUAAGGCUGACACGAUGUGAGUUUUAUCUGCUACUCAUUCAUACUUUUGCAUUACAAGAUUAUGUUUGUUAGCCCAGUUUUUUAUUCGCAACCAUCUUCGUAAAGAAGUUUAAAAACUAGUAUAGAUUUAUUUUUUAUUUCACCAAUAUAAUUAUUUGUUUAUAUAAUUGAUUCUGAGCAUCCUGUUUAUUUUAUUCUUCAUCAUUCUGAGCAAUGCCAUAUGGUGUAUGUGCACUGUCUAAUUUAUUGGGAGUUUCAAUGGGAUGAACAUUUUACAAAUAUAUAUCAUGGAUGAUGAGUGCCUCGCGGGCAUGGUUAUGAUUUCUCACUAAUGGAUCAUUUGGAAAUAUGAAUGCCCUCCACUGCCAGCGAGCAAUCUGUGAACUACUUGGCUCAAGCAAUAGAUUACUUCGGUGCGGUGUGAUAAUAAUGUGAUGUGAACCUUCUAUUGUUGGGAGUGUUUGAGAAGAGUAGUAAGCCUUCCCAAACAAAAAGACUUUGAUACGCUGUAAAUCGACAUUUAGAUGAAAAUUACGCGGAGCCUAGAUUAGGUGCCAGCUAGUUAGUGACUAGCAUUCCUUUUAUUCUCCAGUAAUGACGAGUGGCCAAACACCAAGUCAUUUAAACUGCUUGCUCCCAAGGCUCAAGCCAACACUAGGACAGCGUACAAUUACUGCUCUUAAUAAAAUUUUACGGAACAAUCUGUUUUCACUUUCCUGAAUGAUUGAAUCGGUCAUCCUGUCAGUCAUUGGUUGUUGGAUACCAUUUUUUUCUUCAGCUUAGGUUUACAUACUAAAGGCUUGAUGACGAGGCACAUGCUGGACAGAUUACGCGGCAUUGAAGGGAUGCAUUACUUUGAGGAGCAAUAAGAAAUAAGAAAUUGCAUAACGAAUGGAACGAUUCUGUUGUACCUCUGUUCAUAAUGAAUGUAUGAAUCUUCUUUGAGAAUGCAUGAACUGCAGAUUGAAAAAUAAGAAAUUGCAGGCCUGGGU